This 3945-nucleotide ribosomal RNA is filed under the name Drosophila melanogaster (fruit fly). RNAcentral describes it as "eukaryotic LSU rRNA". The stretch from base 573 to 3945 matches the Rfam family "Eukaryotic large subunit ribosomal RNA", at positions 1 to 2857 of the family's 3401-position model. The record is from RNAcentral. Lineage: Eukaryota; Metazoa; Arthropoda; Insecta; Diptera; Drosophilidae.
ACUCUAAGCGGUGGAUCACUCGGCUCAUGGGUCGAUGAAGAACGCAGCAAACUGUGCGUCAUCGUGUGAACUGCAGGACACAUGAACAUCGACAUUUUGAACGCAUAUCGCAGUCCAUGCUGUUAUGUACUUUAAUUAAUUUUAUAGUGCUGCUUGGACUACAUAUGGUUGAGGGUUGUAAGACUAUGCUAAUUAAGUUGCUUAUAAAUUUUUAUAAGCAUAUGGUAUAUUAUUGGAUAAAUAUAAUAAUUUUUAUUCAUAAUAUUAAAAAAUAAAUGAAAAACAUUAUCUCACAUUUGAAUGUGAAAAACGAAGAGAAAUAUUUUCUUUUUCAAUCAAAUAAUACUGAGAAAUGUCUAGCAUAAAAAAUUGAAAUAUUUUUCAUCUAGAAUUGUCUCUUAUUAAUGAUUCGGAAAUAGAAAAAUCUUGGUUAUGUUAUUAUUCUUCGUUGGUUCGUUAAAAAUGGAUAAAUAAAAACUUUGCAUACAAGAAUUAAUAAAAAUGUUAUAACGAAUUUAAUUAAAUGUUUUAUCAUUAUAUAUAAAGAAUUUAUGGCAAGAUAAAGUUAUAUACAACCUCAACUCAUAUGGGACUACCCCCUGAAUUUAAGCAUAUUAAUUAGGGGAGGAAAAGAAACUAACAAGGAUUUUCUUAGUAGCGGCGAGCGAAAAGAAAACAGUUCAGCACUAAGUCACUUUGUCUAUAUGGCAAAUGUGAGAUGCAGUGUAUGGAGCGUCAAUAUUCUAGUAUGAGAAAUUAACGAUUUAAGUCCUUCUUAAAUGAGGCCAUUUACCCAUAGAGGGUGCCAGGCCCGUAUAACGUUAAUGAUUACUAGAUGAUGUUUCCAAAGAGUCGUGUUGCUUGAUAGUGCAGCACUAAGUGGGUGGUAAACUCCAUCUAAAACUAAAUAUAACCAUGAGACCGAUAGUAAACAAGUACCGUGAGGGAAAGUUGAAAAGAACUCUGAAUAGAGAGUUAAACAGUACGUGAAACUGCUUAGAGGUUAAGCCCGAUGAACCUGAAUAUCCGUUAUGGAAAAUUCAUCAUUAAAAUUGUAAUAUUUAAAUAAUAUUAUGAGAAUAGUGUGCAUUUUUUCCAUAUAAGGACAUUGUAAUCUAUUAGCAUAUACCAAAUUUAUCAUAAAAUAUAACUUAUAGUUUAUUCCAAUUAAAUUGCUUGCAUUUUAACACAGAAUAAAUGUUAUUAAUUUGAUAAAGUGCUGAUAGAUUUAUAUGAUUACAGUGCGUUAAUUUUUCGGAAUUAUAUAAUGGCAUAAUUAUCAUUGAUUUUUGUGUUUAUUAUAUGCACUUGUAUGAUUAACAAUGCGAAAGAUUCAGGAUACCUUCGGGACCCGUCUUGAAACACGGACCAAGGAGUCUAACAUAUGUGCAAGUUAUUGGGAUAUAAACCUAAUAGCGUAAUUAACUUGACUAAUAAUGGGAUUAGUUUUUUAGCUAUUUAUAGCUAAUUAACACAAUCCCGGGGCGUUCUAUAUAGUUAUGUAUAAUGUAUAUUUAUAUUAUUUAUGCCUCUAACUGGAACGUACCUUGAGCAUAUAUGCUGUGACCCGAAAGAUGGUGAACUAUACUUGAUCAGGUUGAAGUCAGGGGAAACCCUGAUGGAAGACCGAAACAGUUCUGACGUGCAAAUCGAUUGUCAGAAUUGAGUAUAGGGGCGAAAGACCAAUCGAACCAUCUAGUAGCUGGUUCCUUCCGAAGUUUCCCUCAGGAUAGCUGGUGCAUUUUAAUAUUAUAUAAAAUAAUCUUAUCUGGUAAAGCGAAUGAUUAGAGGCCUUAGGGUCGAAACGAUCUUAACCUAUUCUCAAACUUUAAAUGGGUAAGAACCUUAACUUUCUUGAUAUGAAGUUCAAGGUUAUGAUAUAAUGUGCCCAGUGGGCCACUUUUGGUAAGCAGAACUGGCGCUGUGGGAUGAACCAAACGUAAUGUUACGGUGCCCAAAUUAACAACUCAUGCAGAUACCAUGAAAGGCGUUGGUUGCUUAAAACAGCAGGACGGUGAUCAUGGAAGUCGAAAUCCGCUAAGGAGUGUGUAACAACUCACCUGCCGAAGCAACUAGCCCUUAAAAUGGAUGGCGCUUAAGUUGUAUACCUAUACAUUACCGCUAAAGUAGAUGAUUUAUAUUACUUGUGAUAUAAAUUUUGAAACUUUAGUGAGUAGGAAGGUACAAUGGUAUGCGUAGAAGUGUUUGGCGUAAGCCUGCAUGGAGCUGCCAUUGGUACAGAUCUUGGUGGUAGUAGCAAAUAAUCGAAUGAGACCUUGGAGGACUGAAGUGGAGAAGGGUUUCGUGUGAACAGUGGUUGAUCACGAGUUAGUCGGUCCUAAGUUCAAGGCGAAAGCCGAAAAUUUUCAAGUAAAACAAAAAUGCCUAACUAUAUAAACAAAGCGAAUUAUAAUACACUUGAAUAAUUUUGAACGAAAGGGAAUACGGUUCCAAUUCCGUAACCUGUUGAGUAUCCGUUUGUUAUUAAAUAUGGGCCUCGUGCUCAUCCUGGCAACAGGAACGACCAUAAAGAAGCCGUCGAGAGAUAUCGGAAGAGUUUUCUUUUCUGUUUUAUAGCCGUACUACCAUGGAAGUCUUUCGCAGAGAGAUAUGGUAGAUGGGCUAGAAGAGCAUGACAUAUACUGUUGUGUCGAUAUUUUCUCCUCGGACCUUGAAAAUUUAUGGUGGGGACACGCAAACUUCUCAACAGGCCGUACCAAUAUCCGCAGCUGGUCUCCAAGGUGAAGAGUCUCUAGUCGAUAGAAUAAUGUAGGUAAGGGAAGUCGGCAAAUUAGAUCCGUAACUUCGGGAUAAGGAUUGGCUCUGAAGAUUGAGAUAGUCGGGCUUGAUUGGGAAACAAUAACAUGGUUUAUGUGCUCGUUCUGGGUAAAUAGAGUUUCUAGCAUUUAUGUUAGUUACUUGUUCCCCGGAUAGUUUAGUUACGUAGCCAAUUGUGGAACUUUCUUGCUAAAAUUUUUAAGAAUACUAUUUGGGUUAAACCAAUUAGUUCUUAUUAAUUAUAACGAUUAUCAAUUAACAAUCAAUUCAGAACUGGCACGGACUUGGGGAAUCCGACUGUCUAAUUAAAACAAAGCAUUGUGAUGGCCCUAGCGGGUGUUGACACAAUGUGAUUUCUGCCCAGUGCUCUGAAUGUCAAAGUGAAGAAAUUCAAGUAAGCGCGGGUCAACGGCGGGAGUAACUAUGACUCUCUUAAGGUAGCCAAAUGCCUCGUCAUCUAAUUAGUGACGCGCAUGAAUGGAUUAACGAGAUUCCUACUGUCCCUAUCUACUAUCUAGCGAAACCACAGCCAAGGGAACGGGCUUGGAAUAAUUAGCGGGGAAAGAAGACCCUUUUGAGCUUGACUCUAAUCUGGCAGUGUAAGGAGACAUAAGAGGUGUAGAAUAAGUGGGAGAUAUUAGACCUCGGUUUGGUAUCGUCAAUGAAAUACCACUACUCUUAUUGUUUCCUUACUUACUUGAUUAAAUGGAACGUGUAUCAUUUCCUAGCCAUUAUACGGAUAUAUUUAUUAUAUCUUAUGGUAUUGGGUUUUGAUGCAAGCUUCUUGAUCAAAGUAUCACGAGUUUGUUAUAUAAUCGCAAACAAAUUCUUUAAUAAAACGAUGCAUUUAUGUAUUUUUGAUUUGAAAAUUUGGUAUAACUCCAAUUACUCAGGUAUGAUCCAAUUCAAGGACAUUGCCAGGUAGGGAGUUUGACUGGGGCGGUACAUCUCUCAAAUAAUAACGGAGGUGUCCCAAGGCCAGCUCAGUGCGGACAGAAACCACACAUAGAGCAAAAGGGCAAAUGCUGACUUGAUCUCGGUGUUCAGUACACACAGGGACAGCAAAAGCUCGGCCUAUCGAUCCUUUUGGUUUAAAGAGUUUUUAACAAGAGGUGUCAGAAAAGUUACCAUAGGGAUAACUGGCUUGUGGCGGCCAAGCGUUCAUAG